AACGAACGCUGGCGGCAUGCCUAACACAUGCAAGUCGAACGAGACCUUCGGGCCUAGUGGCGCACGGGGGCGUAAGGCGGGGGAACCUGCCCUUAGGUUCGGAAUAACUCCCCGAAAGGUGUGCUAAUACCGGAUAAUGUCUUCGGACCAAAGAUUUAUCGCCUUUGGAUGGGCCCGCGUUGGAUUAGCUAGUUGGUAGGGUAAAAGCCUACCAAGGCGACGAUCCAUAGCUGGUCUGAGAGGAUGAUCAGCCACACUGGGACUGGGACACGGCCCAGACUCCUACGGGAGGCGGCAGUGGGGAAUAUUGGACAAUGGGCGAAAGCCUGAUCCCGCACUGCCGCGUGAGUGAUGAAGGCCUUAGGGUUGUAAAGCUCUUUUACCCGGGAUGAUAAUGACAGUACCGGGAGAAUAAGCACCGGCUAACUCCGUG
This 433-nucleotide ribosomal RNA is filed under the name uncultured bacterium. RNAcentral describes it as "partial 16S ribosomal RNA". It matches the Rfam family "Bacterial small subunit ribosomal RNA", at positions 29 to 507 of the family's 1533-position model. The record is from RNAcentral.